CACCCCCAUCGUGGACACAAAUGCAAAUUCUAGAAGCUGGAGAGAAAUUUCAUAUUGGAAACCAUUUGGCUCCAUUUGCCUGCUACCAGUACCUCCAGAUGAUUCUAGGCCUCUCUUGUCAAUGAGAUUCUCAUUUCUCAAGGUAAUUCUUACGAGAAAAUUCUGGUGCUUCCAUGGGGUUACCAGAAUUCCAUCCAACAAUGCUUUUUAAAUGCAUAAGAGCUUCAGAAAGGACUAUGGAGACAGCUUCUGUCUGUGCAAUCAUGGGAAGGAAAAAAAUGACGGAAGGGCACCCAGAAACCUGGUGGCCCCAACAGCUGGGGAUGGAAAGUCACACCCAAGUUGGCAUCUCCAGUGUGGCGUCCUCAGGUAUGUCCAGUGACUGCUCACAUGACUGCUCAGAUUCCAGGAGUAAAUGCUUUCUACGAACAAGGCAGCGUCUGCAAGUGCUCUCCUGGCCUAGCCCGAGAAAUAAUGCAGCUUUUCUUGUGCCAUCUUCUGUCGGAUCCUAA
Molecule: long non-coding RNA, 512 nt
Filed under: Oryctolagus cuniculus (rabbit)
Lineage: Eukaryota; Metazoa; Chordata; Mammalia; Lagomorpha; Leporidae
Description: lncRNA (ENSOCUG00000033853.1)
Source: RNAcentral